UACAGAGGUCCCAAGCGUUGUUCGGAUUCACUGGGCGUAAAGGGUGCGUAGGCGGUUUGAUAAGUCUGGUGUGAAAUCCCGCAGCUUAACUGCGGAACUGCAUUGGAAACUAUUUGACUAGAGGAAUGGAGAGGAGACUGGAAUACUUGGUGUAGCAGUGAAAUGCGUAGAUAUCAAGAGGAACACCAGUGGCGAAGGCGAGUCUCUGGACAGUUACUGACGCUGAGGCACGAAAGCCAGGGGAGCAAACGGG
This 253-nucleotide ribosomal RNA is filed under the name uncultured bacterium. RNAcentral's name for it is "partial 16S ribosomal RNA". It matches the Rfam family "Bacterial small subunit ribosomal RNA", at positions 524 to 776 of the family's 1533-position model. The record is from RNAcentral.